AUAAUGAUACUCCUUGAGAUAGCCUGCCCGCAGGGGAGGCGGCUAAGAUGCCGGUGA
The sequence is a regulatory RNA element, 57 nucleotides long. It matches the Rfam family "pemK RNA". The record is from Rfam.